GGUUAAGUGACUAAGCGUACACGGUGGAUGCCUAGGCAGUCAGAGGCGAUGAAGGGCGUGCUAAUCUGCGAAAAGCGUCGGUAAGGUGAUAUGAACCGUUACAACCGGCGAUACCCGAAUGGGGAAACCCAGUGUGUUUCGACACACUAUCAUGUCAUGAAUACAUAGUGGCAUGAGGCGAACCGGGGGAACUGAAACAUCUAAGUACCCCGAGGAAAAGAAAUCAACCGAGAUUCCCCCAGUAGCGGCGAGCGAACGGGGAGGAGCCCAGAACCUGAAUCGGCUUGUGUGUUAGUGGAAGCGUCUGGAAAGUCGCGCAGCAAAGGGUGAUAGCCCCGUACACUAAAAUGCACAGGUCGUGAGUUCGAUGAGUAGGGCGGGACACGUGACAUCCUGUCUGAAUAUGGGGGGACCAUCCUCCAAGGCUAAAUACUCCUGACUGACCGAUAGUGAACCAGUACCGUGAGGGAAAGGCGAAAAGAACCCCGGCGAGGGGAGUGAAAUAGAACCUGAAACCGUGUACGUACAAGCAGUGGGAGCACCUUCGUGGUGUGACUGCGUACCUUUUGUAUAAUGGGUCAGCGACUUAUAUUUUGUAGCAAGGUUAACCGUAUAGGGGAGCCGUAGGGAAACCGAGUCUUAACUGGGCGAAUAGUUGCAAGGUAUAGACCCGAAACCCGGUGAUCUAGCCAUGGGCAGGUUGAAGGUUGGGUAACACUAACUGGAGGACCGAACCGACUAAUGUUGAAAAAUUAGCGGAUGACUUGUGGCUGGGGGUGAAAGGCCAAUCAAACCGGGAGAUAGCUGGUUCUCCCCGAAAGCUAUUUAGGUAGCGCCUCGUGAACUCAUCUUCGGGGGUAGAGCACUGUUUCGGCUAGGGGGCCAUCCCGGCUUACCAAACCGAUGCAAACUCCGAAUACCGAAGAAUGUUAUCACGGGAGACACACGGCGGGUGCUAACGUCCGUCGUGAAGAGGGAAACAACCCAGACCGCCAGCUAAGGUCCCAAAGUCAUGGUUAAGUGGGAAACGAUGUGGGAAGGCAUAGACAGCCAGGAUGUUGGCUUAGAAGCAGCCAUCAUUUAAAGAAAGCGUAAUAGCUCACUGGUCGAGUCGGCCUGCGCGGAAGAUGUAACGGGGCUAAACCAUGCACCGAAGCUGCGGCAGCGACGCUUAGGCGUUGUUGGGUAGGGGAGCGUUCUGUAAGCCGUUGAAGGUGGCCUGUGAGGGUUGCUGGAGGUAUCAGAAGUGCGAAUGCUGACAUAAGUAACGAUAAAGCGGGUGAAAAGCCCGCUCGCCGGAAGACCAAGGGUUCCUGUCCAACGUUAAUCGGGGCAGGGUGAGUCGACCCCUAAGGCGAGGCUGAAAAGCGUAGUCGAUGGGAAACAGGUUAAUAUUCCUGUACUUGGUGUUACUGCGAAGGGGGGACGGAGAAGGCUAGGCUAGCCGGGCGACGGUUGUCCCGGUUUAAGCGUGUAGGGGGUGUGACCUGGUAAAUCCGGUUGCAUAUCAACCCUGAGGCGUGAUGACGAUGCACUACGGUGCAGAAGUAGUUGAUGCCCUGCUUCCAGGAAAAGCCUCUAAGCUCUAGGUAACAUUAAAUCGUACCCCAAACCGACACAGGUGGUCAGGUAGAGAAUACCAAGGCGCUUGAGAGAACUCGGGUGAAGGAACUAAAUAGCUGCGCCUAAUACCGCUACACUUUUGCCUGACCAUGUUUUCCUCCGGGGAAUGGGCUGGCGGUUUCCAUAAAAUGGCGGACCUUUUUCAGUAACUGCCACAUUGAGCGGCACUGAUGAUUACGGGUUAUCGUGUCAUGAAGUGCCUGCCAUAGCCGUUCCACAUGAUUCACCCACGGCGAGUAAACCGGCUGGUAAAUUACCCUGAACUUGGGAUUUGCUUUCAACCAGCGCUGUGUUUCGCGGCUUUUAUGGAUAAUGUAGUUAUCAACGAUCAGCGUGAUUGUUUUCGCCCGCCGGUAAGUGGCUUUCAGGUGCUUCAGCAGAGCGAUAAACAGCGCUGAACUUUUGCUGUUGCCGCCCACGUAGCUGACUUUACCCGUGCCACUGUGCAGUGCGCCGGCCAGAUAGUAUUUUUCGUUCUGCCCCGGCGUCACUACCCGUUUCUGCUGUCCGCGCAACUGCCAGUCCGCACCGAUUUUAGGAUUAAGGUGGAUAUCCACUUCAUCUUCAUAAAAUACCGGAUGCUCUGCGCUGCAUUCAUCCAGCGCUUUGUGGAUUACCGCCAUCUUUUCAUCUUUAUGUGGGUCACGGAUACGCAGAGUUGGCGCGGCCCUGCGCCAUACAAGCCCCGCAGAUGGCAACCAGCGGCGAACGGUUCCUGCAUGUAACUGGCAACCGGUUAUCUCAUUGAUUUUUAUUGCCAGUAAUUCGGUGCUCCAGCGUGAACGUUGAUAACCAAAAUCGCCGGGAGAAUGCUUUAUCAGCUCACGUAACAGGGUGCAGAUAUGUUCAAAAGGCCAGCGUCGGGAGCGCCCUGCGGGUAAGGAUUUCAGGCCUUCAAUACCUGAGUGCGUAAACCAGUUAAUCCAGCGACCAACGGAUGAACGGGCACAACAGAGAGUUCUGGCAACAUCGCUGACCCGUUCACCCCGAUGAAGCAUCAGCAUGGCCGUGAGUCUGCGGGCAUGAUUUUUAUCACGCGUUUUAUGAAUAGCUUUCUGCAUCAGGCGUCGUUCGCCACGGGGUAUUGGUACUAUGAUCGGCAUCGCUCAGUCCGGUUGGUGAUUUUGGUUGGUUUGGCGAUUGAUCAGAUCGCACAAUCCGGGCUGAGUUCCCUUUCAGUGAUCUACUAUUCCGCGCAGCUAUUUAGGCAAAAUGGUGCCGUAACUUCGGGAGAAGGCACGCUGGCAUGUAGGUGAAGUCCUUCGCGGAUGGAGCUGAAGCCAGUCGAAGAUACCAGCUGGCUGCAACUGUUUAAUAAAAACACAGCACUGUGCAAACACGAAAGUGGACGUAUACGGUGUGACGCCUGCCCGGUGCUGGAAGGUUAAUUGAUGGGGUCAGCCGCAAGGCGAAGCUCUUGAUCGAAGCCCCAGUAAACGGCGGCCGUAACUAUAACGGUCCUAAGGUAGCGAAAUUCCUUGUCGGGUAAGUUCCGACCUGCACGAAUGGCGUAAUGAUGGCCAGGCUGUCUCCACCCGAGACUCAGUGAAAUUGAACUCGCUGUGAAGAUGCAGUGUACCCGCGGCAAGACGGAAAGACCCCGUGAACCUUUACUAUAGCUUGACACUGAACAUUGAGCCUUGAUGUGUAGGAUAGGUGGGAGGCUUUGAAGCGUGGACGCCAGUCUGCGUGGAGCCAUCCUUGAAAUACCACCCUUUAAUGUUUGAUGUUCUAACUCGGCCCCAUAAUCUGGGGUGAGGACAGUGUCUGGUGGGUAGUUUGACUGGGGCGGUCUCCUCCCAAAGAGUAACGGAGGAGCACGAAGGUUAGCUAAUCACGGUCGGACAUCGUGAGGUUAGUGCAAAGGCAUAAGCUAGCUUGACUGCGAGAGUGACGGCUCGAGCAGGUACGAAAGUAGGUCUUAGUGAUCCGGUGGUUCUGAAUGGAAGGGCCAUCGCUCAACGGAUAAAAGGUACUCCGGGGAUAACAGGCUGAUACCGCCCAAGAGUUCAUAUCGACGGCGGUGUUUGGCACCUCGAUGUCGGCUCAUCACAUCCUGGGGCUGAAGUAGGUCCCAAGGGUAUGGCUGUUCGCCAUUUAAAGUGGUACGCGAGCUGGGUUUAGAACGUCGUGAGACAGUUCGGUCCCUAUCUGCCGUGGGCGUUGGAAGAUUGAGAGGGGUUGCUCCUAGUACGAGAGGACCGGAGUGAACGCACCACUGGUGUUCGGGUUGUCAUGCCAAUGGCAUUGCCCGGUAGCUAAGUGCGGAAAAGAUAAGCGCUGAAAGCAUCUAAGCGCGAAACUUGCCUCAAGAUGAGUCUUCCCUGGGCCUUUAAGGCCCCUGAAGGAACGUUUAAGACUAAGACGUUGAUAGGCUGGGUGUGUAAGUGCAGCGAUGCAUUGAGCUAACCAGUACUAAUGAUCCGUGAGGCUUAACCUU
Molecule: ribosomal RNA, 4063 nt
Filed under: Serratia nevei
Lineage: Bacteria; Pseudomonadati; Pseudomonadota; Gammaproteobacteria; Enterobacterales; Yersiniaceae
Description: 23S ribosomal RNA
Rfam family: Bacterial large subunit ribosomal RNA
Source: RNAcentral